ACAAGGCUGGGCUCGGGGGCUGCUGCCUCGGCCUUGGGAAGGAUCGGGCCGAGGCCAUCGGAGGUGGGACACUUGUCCCGGCCCGUGGAGCGGCGGCCCCGGGGCUGACCUCACCGAGCAUCCCCCGGGGACAGCGCUGGAGGCUGUGACAAACCGGGACAGAGAGCUGGGAGGGGGUUUGUGUGGAUUUAUGAUGAUGCGUUGGGCUGUUUCAGAUGCCACACGGAUGAGUGAUCCGCAAAUGUGCUGUGAGGUGGAUUGCAAGAACUUUGUUUCUUCUCUUACGUUAUGAAAACACAUCUUUAUGGCUUCGGUGUUGCUUGGGUGUUGCACAGCCCUACUUUAUCUGCACCAAAUGUCAGGUUUUGUCCCUCUCUGCAAAGCUUUGCGCUUUUCUCUGUUGCUUCGCUUGUAUCGCUGAUCUUACCAAGCCGGAGGUUUUUCUCUCUACGCUGCAGCACCUUCAUCUGCUGUUUCCUUUGGGUGGAACACGCUGCCACCAUCCUGCUCUGAAAUCCCUGAGCCUGGAGUCCCGAAAGCCCCCGUGGCAGAGGAUCCCUGUGGAGUAGGUGUCGUUGAAGGGACUUUGCGAUGCGAAUCCCACUGACGUGCUGUUGUUCCACACAUUCUCUGCACUGCUUCUGGCAUCCAUCUGCUUCCCCAGCUUCUACGUAAACUCACAGGCGACAAGGAGGGGGACAAGUCUUCGCACGCUUUUACCUUUUCUUGCCUGUCUUAGGUUUGGAGGGGACUUGCCAAAACAAUUUCCUUGCCUUGGGCUGUAAGGGAAUGAUGUUAGUAGUGCAGGUGUCUAUCAGGCCUCAAGUAGAGACAGUAGUUGCCAGUCUUCUCUCUUCCACAGCCUGAGAUAAAUAUUAUCAGGAUCUACCUUAAUUUUUACAAAUAAUUAAGGAAGGAAGCUGAAUUGAAGCCUUGUUUCCCUUUAUCAAGGCACAACAACAGAAUCCUAGGGAGAAAUCCAGGGGAAACAGUCUCUUAGGCAAGAACUACUUAAAUGUGAUCAGACGCAUCAUGGCACACACUUGGUACGGUCAUAUAACAGAUAUAAGUAGUCACAGACAGUAGUAUGCAGAACUAUUUUGAAUUAUUUUAACCUCACAGUAUCUUUUAGACUGGAACAUGACCUAUUCUGUGUGUGUAAAUAGAGAUCGCGCUAGGCUGACCUCCCCUUGAUGGUGGUGUGUAAAUUAUCACUGUAAGGCAAAGUAGACAUUUAGUUUGUGACUUUAAUAGGCUUUCAGGUUGUAUCAAAUUACUUUUCUAGCUACUGUUAUUAUCUUUCCCAUCCUGCUGAAUGGAGCCAUGUGGUGUUAGAAACUUACCUACAGACCUUCUGUUUCUUGCCUUCACUUCUGUGUGAAGUGGCAGAGGACAGGACAAGGGGGAAUGGCCUGAAGCUCCGCCAGGGGAGAUUCAGGCUGGAUAUCAGAAAACAAUUCUUCAUGGAAAGAGUCAUUGGGCACUGGAACAGCUGCCCAGGGAGGUGGUCGAGUCACCUUCCCUGGAGGUGUUUAAGGAACGGGUUGAUGAAGUGCUUAGGGACAUGGUUUAAGAGUGUUAGGAAUGGUUGGACUCGAUGAUCCAGUGGGUCCUUUCCAACCUGGUGAUUCUGUGAUUCUGUGAAUGCCUUACUUUGUUGUAACUGACCAGUCUACUGUGAUAUUAAUAGAAACGAGCAAGGUUCCCAAACAGGACCUAGUAAAUUACCUACUCUUUUAUCACAGUGCAUUACAUCAGUAAUUGAUAUCAGCGAAAUGUUUCUCCAGGGAUUUGAUUAACAUAACCAUGAGCUAUAGUGUACACGCAAGAACCACAAAUAGUUAAUAAGCAUAAUUAUGAAAGAUGAUACAACUUUUUCCUUUCACCGGUAACUGAGCUGCAAAAGCAUCUCCUGCAACUUCACACCAAAGGAUUCAUUCAUCUAUCUGCGCAUGUUUCUGUUUGAAGUGAGUCAAUUUAAGAAACAAAUCAGAUUACUUGCCUUGCCCAGAUUACUUUUGUCAAAGACAGAAGACACGGAUUGCUGGACUGUCUGCUGGAAUGUGAUAAAAGAACCUGAAAAUCUGGAAAAGCCGUAGGAACUUACUUUUUCAUGACCAUGAAAGUGGGCUCUGUCCACUCUUAACAUUUCUGUCUUUCCUUUAGGUUAUUAACCAAAUUUUGGGACUACCUUUAUUUUUUAUCACUGCUAAUUGUCUCGAAGAAAAGGAAGAAAACUGAUUUUGUCGCCACUGUUUAGUAAACACUGAGAUGAGCUGCUGUAAAUGGCUGUAGCUCUUAGUAGUCAAGGGUUGGCCAACUGACAGCUCCUAAGAAACUCAACUGCCAUGGGAUCUUCCACUGCCAGCACUCAGUUACCUAUAGGAAAGACACACCACGAAAGCAUCAGAAAUAUUGGGCAUUUUGAUUAACAAGACAGACACAAAGACUAUUCUGCUUGAAUGAAACAUGCGUGGGUGCUUUUUGUAACUAAAUACAGUGAGACACUUCUGUGCUAGAUAUUAGCAUCAGCAGUGCAGUAAGCGACAGGAAAGCCUUCACAGCCUGCAGGUCAUUUAAAUUGGAUGUUUUAUGUAGAGUCGUCUGCAAGAAGCGCAAGAAGAUGCAUCUUUCCAUUAACAUCUGUAAAAAUGCACAGAAGACUUUUAACUAAAACAUGGCCUAAAGAAAGUUAAUGAGGUUGUUAAUAGUCUGCGUCACAAAUUAAAAGACUUUGGAUGUUUCUGGUCUUUUCCUUCAGGCUGUGAUGAAUCAUGAAAACAACAGAAAGUUGAUUUUUCUAAAGGAGCAGCAGCUUAUGAAUAAUUAUCCAGGCUUAUAAGGCAGUUUUGUAGCAGCCGACUCACCCUCUUCCAGUUCGGUGAUGAAUGUUAUUUCCAACAGAAAGAAAAUGACAUGCUGAAAAUCCACAUGGACCUGUUCAUUGUGAGAGCAGUAUAAGUGUAAGAAGAAUGUUCCACGUAAAAUGAGCGUGCCACGUUUAGAUAAAAAUCUUGAUUUCUGUGUAAGAAGUAUUAUGCGCAUUCAAAUUGAAUUAUGCAGCUUAUUACUUCUGAAAAUGGUUGCACCUCGUGAUCGAUCAGGUCAAGAGGUCAUAAGGCCUUACAUAAAGCACACCUCAAAUGGGAAUGACACUGCAGGAAUAUUUACAUUUUCAAAGCAUUCUUUGUGUUUGCAUGACAGCUGAAUGAACCAUCCCUUAGGAAAAAGAAAGAAAGAAAACGGAGAAUGCUUUUUCAUUGAAUUAAUGAACCUGCUCUGAAAUUUUGAAGGAAUGUCUAGCAAACUAUAAUGAUCACAGCACUUGCAAUGAAAAGAACUACACUAUCCAUUGGAAAUGUCUUUGACAGGAUGCUAGAAUCCACUCCACUUCAUGGUUUCUUCAUGCAAAUUACAUAAAAUGCUUUGCAAAAAUGGAGUCAUUUCCAUAGCAGAAUUUUGGCAAAUUAACCAAAGCACGUUGCUAUGACAGUUCUUACAAAUAUUUCUAUUUUAGCUUUGUUUUGUAUUAUAAAUAUGUCAAGAUAAAGCCAUUUCUGUCAAAACAGUUUUUUUUUCCUCUUGAGAAAAUUUUCCAGGCAUUUGUUUCAAUGCCCUAAUUUUCAGUAUUCAUCAAAGUCAAGAUGGAGGCUAAUUUCAAGUCCUGUAACUUGUAUCUGCAUAAUCAUAAACCCACAAGAACAUCACUUUAGUCUUAUAAAUGAAUAAUGUUAGAUACAGUAUUGUUAGCAUAAUUGACUUUGUUUACUGCUCUGUAGAACAGUGGCUGGAAAAUAAAUGAC
This is a long non-coding RNA of Cuculus canorus (common cuckoo), 3803 nucleotides long. RefSeq lists it as uncharacterized. The record is from RefSeq and is a predicted model, not a curated record. The transcript is spliced from 4 exons. NCBI's taxonomy places the organism in Eukaryota, Metazoa, Chordata, Aves, Cuculiformes, Cuculidae.